RNAcentral lists this ribosomal RNA (465 nucleotides) under uncultured bacterium. RNAcentral's name for it is "partial 16S ribosomal RNA". It matches the Rfam family "Bacterial small subunit ribosomal RNA", at positions 28 to 507 of the family's 1533-position model. The record is from RNAcentral.
GACGAACGCUGGCGGCGUGCUUAACACAUGCAAGUCGAACGGAAAGGCCCCCUUGUGGGGUACUCGAGUGGCGAACGGGUGAGUAACACGUGAGUAACCUACCCUUGACUUUGGGAUAACUUCAGGAAACUGGGGCUAAUACCGGAUAGGAGCUCCUGCUGCAUGGUGGGGGUUGGAAAGUUUCGGCGGUUGGGGAUGGACUCGCGGCUUAUCAGCUUGUUGGUGGGGUAGUGGCUCACCAAGGCUUUGACGGGUAGCCGGCCUGAGAGGGUGACCGGCCACAUUGGGACUGAGAUACGGCCCAGACUCCUACGGGAGGCAGCAGUGGGGAAUAUUGCACAAUGGGCAGAAGCCUGAUGCAGCAACGCCGCGUGCGGGAUGACGGCCUUCGGGUUGUAAACCGCUUUCGCCUGUGACGAAGCGUGAGUGACGGUAAUGGGUAAAGAAGCACCGGCUAACUACGUG